Molecule: long non-coding RNA, 4923 nt
Filed under: Anolis carolinensis (green anole)
Lineage: Eukaryota; Metazoa; Chordata; Lepidosauria; Squamata; Anolidae
Description: lncRNA (ENSACAG00000036009.1)
Source: RNAcentral
AUGUCCUCCGAUGCUGCAAGGGGGAGAGAGCUUUUACAACAGCUGUCGCCUGCAUGGCUGCCUUUGCGGUGGGGGUCCACAUGUGGGGCAGGGAGAAGGCCUCCAGUCGUGGCUGAGAGAGAGAGAGAGAGCGGUGGCUUCGGUCGCUCCCCCCCGCUUUGGCAAUCCCUUGCACCUGUAUUCCAACAACCAGCUGUUGCGCCUGCGCAUGCGCGGGAAGGCUGGCAAGAUCCAGCCCUCCCAGCAGCGAUUGCUAGGAAUUUGAAUGAAGAGUGGUCCUCUCCCGCUGCUGCUGCCGCUGCCAUCUUCCUCCUCCUCCUCCUCCCCCUCCCCUCCUGCUGGAUCCCUGGUUGGGAUGCAAAACCUGAACUUGGAGAAGCAGCAUCUCUCGCGAAGAACCAGACGGAGAGCUUAGCAAUGAAUCCGCUGAAGCUCCGAUCCAUCAAAGAGCCAGAUCAACGAGGCACAGACCAUCCCUAGACGUGAUUAAAUAUCCCUUUCUUCCAAGGCUCGGAGACAACACGGAUUUACCUGACCUGUCUUCUUCACGAUUUGGCUUCAAAGCACAACCAUCUGGAGGAGGUAAGAGAACCUUCUUGCCUAGUGAUAUGCCCCCUUAUCCCUUUUCCUUUCUCCCACAUCUGUUCUCUGUGCAGAGGUGCAUCUAAGGUGGGAGAAGAACCUUCCUCACUGCUCAUUCUCUGCUGAACUCAUGCUCUUGCUUGCUCCCAAUUGCCCAGCCUCCUUUGGCAGCUCAGCGUGUAGCUGCUCUUUGGAAAUCAGUAUGUAGGAAGGUGACCGGUGCGGUUUAGUUGUGUGCCACCCAAAGCUUUCUUCUCUUUACUUGUCUUUUUCUUCUUGCAUCUGUUCCUUUCUUGCCUUAACUCUCAUUCCUCUACUCAGCACCCUUGCAGUGCAUGCCUCUCCUCUCUUUGUCAAACAAGCAUUGAUUUUUUUGUGUUUGAUAAGCAAAGAGAGGGCAAUGCAAUCCCCCCUCCUUCCACACUGAGUUAAUAUUAUACAUACUUGCUUGCAGUGGAGUGCAGCAGGCCGCAGAUAUUCCUCUUCAGACAACAUAUACUUUGCAGGUCUUGAUGAUGAAUGGGAUGCCAUCCCAUCGGGGCAUCUGCCAGUGGUGUUUGUCCUGAGCUAAACAUGUGCUUGGAAAUCUGUAAUGCUGAGAUAACUUCUUAAAAUGUACCAUCUCCCCACCAUGUGUUUUUAGACAUUUAGAACGUUUCUAGUCAAUCACAUUUCUUUCUCCAAGUUAGCAAUUUAGCAGGGUUUAGAGAUUAUGUGUUCAGAAUAGUUUUUUACAAUCCAAUCGGAGGAGGGAUUUCCUGACAAUCAGUCAGUGCUUAACUUCUCAGGUUCAUAAUGCAAGUGGGACAUUUUUGGGGGAGGAGAGGGGAAGCUCGGAUAUUCCAGAUGUUUUGGAACUCAUCUCCUAGAAGUUGUAGUAAUCACAGCCAAUGGUGUAAAGGAUUAUAGAAGGUGUAGUCCAAAAUAUCUGGAGAGGCAUUGUUUCCCACCCAUGUGUUGGUGGGUACUGGCAUAGAUAAACGAAACAGAAUGAAGGCAAGAACUCUAAACUGGAUGAAACAACCUCCAAAGUGCUGAAGAACAUAGAACUGAUGAAUCACUGAACUCUAUUGUGUAUGUAACAAUAUGUGCAUCUUUUAUUGCGAUACCUGAUUCAUAUGCAGCUUACAGAAAUAAAAUCCUAACAUACAAUGUCAUUAAUGUCAUGCAAAAUCUACUAACUGAAAUGUAUUCAUACCAUUUUAAAAUGCAAAGGUCUAAUUUCUAAAUGUCUGAAUAGGCAAGGUAUAUUCAUUUAGAACUUUAACACAUUAAUAAAAACAAUCAUAACACCAAAGUGCAGCUAGAGAAAGCAAGACAUGAUUAGCAAAAUCCAAACACGUCAAUUACUGGUACUCAGUAAUAUCCCAUUGUAUCGAGCUUUUCACAUGAUUAGAUAACCAAAAUUCUUUGUUCCUAUAUUACAGAAAGUAAAGCAAAACCCAUAUAGAGGAUCAAACAAUUGGAUACAUCUUUAGUAAACCAUUUUGUUGAAUGUUCCCAUACAUAAUUAUGCUUUUAAGUAAUUGAUUAUUGAUAGACUAUAUUCUCACAGGUUUGAUUACAAAAUCUUAUUACUGUGGAAAGAAGUAGGAUGUGUUUUUAAAUUGGAUACAACAAGCUUUAAAGGAUUUAUGUCUAAACCCAACUUGAUUUCUUUUCUGAGAAUAUAAUCAUAAUAUAAUUUAUGUUUUUGGGGGAGUGUUUUCCUCUGUCCACCAUGCUAUGAAGUUUCAUAACUGGAUUAUAUGACUGUGUAUUUGGUAUUAUUUUUAUUACAUAGAAAGCAUCAACCUGGUAACUGUCAUAGUAAAUGUUAUAGUAAAUGUCACUAAGUGCAUGUUUUUGGACUUCAUUUACAAUUGCCAGUUAUUGUAAGUAGUGGUUGGGGAUUGUAGGAGCUGUAGUCCUAUAAAAUCUAAACACUAGAGUUUUGAUACAACUGUUUCAUGGUUGUGAGACAUUAUACAUUUAAGAAGAUAGUAAUAAAAAGGUAUUCGUUCACCAAGCUUGAACUGAAGCCAAUUGAAUUUAGUUGGCUGUCUACAGACUGUAAGGUAAGGCUGUUAAAAAUAAGCAAAUUAGUCCCAAGCUAAAACAUUUAUUUAUUUAUCUCAAAAAAAAAUCAGACUCAAAGCAGCUCAUUUCAAGCUCAAACCCCAAAAUAAAACAAAACAUAAACAAAUUCAAACACCAAGCCACAAUAAGUCAUGGCUUAAAACAAAUGGAAACACAAUUCUUCAGACUCUCCCCAUAAUGUAACUUGAAGUGAACUACUAAGCGUAAAACAGUGAUAAGUUGGCCACACGCCAGAUAGUAUACAGUAUUACCUAAAUGAAUCUGCUCCCUCCGUUGUGAUGGAGGAUCUAUCCUGUCACCAGUGCUUAAGUAAAAUUCAAAUGCCAGUCCAGUUUGCUUCUGCAUGUAGAGUGUUUGUGUGUGCAUGUAUGGAUUCAUCAUGUUAUUCUUUGCCUCAGGUAGCAAAAUGUCUUGGGUUGGCCCCUGUCUAUCAGAAUCUGGAAAUAGAAAUGUGUGCUGAUGGCUGUUGUGAGAGUACAGGCAAAUGUGUAGGCACUACUGAGUGUGUUCAAGGAAAAGGCAGGAGGAAGAGGAGGAACAGCUCACUUGGCUAAUCAUCUACAUUGUUGUUUUAUUGCUUGUUUUAUGAAAAAACUAAUGACUCCAAGGUGGGACAGAAAUGGGAGAAAUAAUAUCUCUGUCCCAAGGAGAGUGAAGAAACAGGCAUGUGCUGUUGUUCAGCAAAAGAGAAGGACUACAUUAUAAAAACUUAUUAAAACCUGGUUUAAACUUAUUCAGGGAUUAGCAGUUGAUUCAGGUAUUAGCCAUCUUUCUACAUGUUAAGCAGAUGAGCCAGGGUGCAUCUACAUUGUAAAAUUAAUUCAGUUUGACACUACUGUAAGAGCUAUGGCUUGUUUCUAUAGAAUCACAGGAAUUGUAGAUUAAGAAGGUCUUUAGUCUUCUCUGCCAAAGAGUGCUGGUGCCUCACCAAACUGCAAAGCCUAGGGUUCCAUAGCAUUGAGUCAUGGCUGUUAAAGUGGUGUCAAACUUUAUUUUACUGUGUAGAUGCACCCAUAGUGGGUGAUAGUAUACGGACUUUUGCCAUGCUACUUGUAGCAUGUGGUCUGGGAGGGCUGCCCUCGAAGAUGACUCUGGGAUUACAGAUAAUGCAAAGUGGAACAAGAAAAUGGUUGUUCUUGAGGCCACAUAGACAACAUAUAGCACCACUUUUAAAGGAAUUGCAGUUUGCUUCCAGUCUGAAUUCAAAGUGCUGGUCAUGACAUUCAAAGCCUCAAAAGACCAUGACAUCUUAAGAAAUGCCUUUCACUGUACAUAUCUUCCCAAGGACUGAGAUCUGCUGGAGGGACCUUCCCUUGUGACCCAUCAAUAGGAGCAUCCCAGUGAUGGGAUGCCAUCCCCUUGAAAGCCCAACUCUUCCCCUUAUUGCUCUCUUUUGAUCCCAGGUCAAAAUACGGCUUUUUAUUUGGAGCCUUAUUUAGUUUUAAGCUUGCAUAUUAUUAUUAUUUUUUUGGGGGGGGGGGGGACCAACCUCAUUUAGCCUUUUAAGACUGUUUUACUUGUUGAGUUGUUUUCAUAUGUUUUAAAGUCUUUUAGAAACUAUUCAUAAAUUAAAUACGGAAUGAUUUACAUUAUUUAUAUUGUUCUAUAUGUUUGCUGCCCUGGGCUCUCAUGAAGAAGAGGCAGGAUACAAAUAUUUAAACAAACAAACAAACAAACAAACAAAUAUAAGUACAGUAGAGUCUCACUUAUCCAAGACUUGCUUAUCCAACGUUCUGGAUUAUCCAACACAUUUUUGUAGUCAAUGUUUUCAAUACAUUGUGAUAUUUUGGUGCUAAAUUCGUAAAUACAGUAAUUAUUACAUAGCAUUACUGCGUAUUGAACUACUUUUUCUGUCAAAUUUGUGGUAUAACAUGAUGUUUUGGUGCUUAAUUUGUAAAAUCAUAACCUAAUUUGAUUUUUAAUAGGCUUUUCCUUAAUCCCUCCUUAUUAUCCAACAUAUUCACUUAUCCAACAUUCUGUCGGCCUGUUUAUGUUAGAUAAGUGAGACUCUACUGUAAAUGCAAACAAACUUAAUGGCAGUUCCCCUCAUGUAAACUUCCUUAUUCCAUCUUCUUUCCUUCUUUUUGCUAGGAAUAUAAGGAGUACUUGCAAAUGUUCUUGUCUUUAGUGCAAAAGGUGGUUUCAAAUCAACAAUGUUUCCCCUUGAAAAAAUGGUGAUUUGCCAUCAGGUUUUCUGCUUGUGAGACUUUUAAAAAUUAUUUGCAUCACAUCGACAUUUUUUGUCCAGAAUAUGAGACAUAU